This 159-nucleotide ribosomal RNA is filed under the name Scedosporium boydii. RNAcentral describes it as "partial 5.8S ribosomal RNA". The stretch from base 1 to 105 matches the Rfam family "5.8S ribosomal RNA", at positions 51 to 154 of the family's 154-position model. Rfam says of the family: 5.8S ribosomal RNA (5.8S rRNA) is a component of the large subunit of the eukaryotic ribosome. It is transcribed by RNA polymerase I as part of the 45S precursor that also contains 18S and 28S rRNA. The record is from RNAcentral. Lineage: Eukaryota; Fungi; Ascomycota; Sordariomycetes; Microascales; Microascaceae.
AAAUGCGAUAAGUAAUGUAAAUUGCAAAAUUCAGUGAAUCAUCGAAUCUUUGAAACGCACAUUGCGCCCGGCAGUAAUCUGCCGGGCAUGCCUGUCCGAGCGUCAUUUCAACCCUCGAACCUCCGUUUCCUUAGGGAAGCCUAGGGUCGGUGUUGGGGC